Long non-coding RNA from Drosophila miranda, 496 nucleotides. RefSeq lists it as uncharacterized. The record is from RefSeq and is a predicted model, not a curated record. The transcript is spliced from 3 exons. NCBI's taxonomy places the organism in Eukaryota, Metazoa, Arthropoda, Insecta, Diptera, Drosophilidae.
CGGCCAAUUUAUGGCCUUAGACUGGGGCUUAAUUAUGCAAAUACGUUGUUUACAGGGAAUUUUGAAAGAUAGACUUGAUUGAAAACGAUUUGUACAGAAAAACAGAACCUUUCUACGAUCAACAUGUAUCGAAAUCGGGAUCAACAUGGUUUCAAUAUCGAUAAAACCAAGAAACAUGUAUAGGGUAUAGAUAAUGUUGCGCGUUUCCAAACAAAUUAAAUGUUGCCAACGGGAAAAAAGUCUGGAUUGAGACUCAUUGCUGCUACCGAUUUAUACCGAUUCAAAGAGAGCGAAUAAGAGAGCCUUAACCUAUUAGAAGAGAUCGAAGAGAGCCAAAAACUGAUUCGAAAGUUCGGCGCGCAAAAUUGGAAUUGCUUGAAAGUGAAUAAGACAAGGAUGUGAAUGAAAAUGUUUUAAGUGAAAAGUACCAUUAUAUACCGAUAUACCUUAAAUAUAUAUAUAAGUAUACCCUGACGACAAAGGAAGAGAAAAAUGC